Non-coding RNA from Puma concolor (puma), 386 nucleotides. The record is from RefSeq and is a predicted model, not a curated record. NCBI's taxonomy places the organism in Eukaryota, Metazoa, Chordata, Mammalia, Carnivora, Felidae.
AGUUUACCCAAGACACUGCUAUUACAAAGUGUGACUUAAGGAGAAGAAAGUGCCAGUUUUGCUGAUUUAUUCAGCACAUAUAUAAUUGCUCGCCCACUGCACAGAAAGCGCUCUAACAGGUACUGGAGACAGACAGAUAGACAAGAAAGGUGAAACUCAACCUCAUGAAACUCACGAGCUAUCAGAGAAGACGUAUCCUAAACAAAUAAGCAAAUGCACAGAUGAAACAAUUUCACGCAGUGGAACGAAAGAAGAAAUUGACAAAUUUAUUGUUCGUUUGCCGAGUUCAAAAGCCUUUCUAAUUAAGAAUACAGUCAGUGUUUGAAUAUUGAGCUGCAAGUCAAGCAAUGUGAUAUUCAGACUGAUUAAUGACUUGGAGAUUUCAU